RNAcentral lists this unclassified non-coding RNA (303 nucleotides) under fungal sp. RNAcentral's name for it is "partial internal transcribed spacer region". The stretch from base 1 to 46 matches the Rfam family "Eukaryotic small subunit ribosomal RNA", at positions 1786 to 1831 of the family's 1831-position model. Lineage: Eukaryota; Fungi. The record is from RNAcentral.
AAGUCGUAACAAGGUUUCCGUAGGUGAACCUGCGGAAGGAUCGUCAUCGAAUUCAUACCCUCCCCCCCUCACCGGGGGGUGGGCUCAUGAUAAACCCUUCUGUGCACUGUAAACCGUUCACUUUGGCAGGCUUUGGUCGCGAGUGUUCCGCUCGCCCCAACCUCGCGUGCCCCUCCCAAGGGGUACGCGAGGCGGCCUGCCGGAGUCCUCUUCUGAAAAACUCGUUUGAGAACACGUCUGAAAAUUUCCUUUGAGAAAUCAAAGAACCGAAAACAACUUUCGACAACGGAUCUCUUGGCUCUC